CAUCCUCUGUGUCCUCAAUUCUGCCGCAGUUGCCAUGGUAACACCACCCUGCACUCAGCCUGUGGAAGACAGUAAAAUGCAGACAUUUUACUGUUUUCACGUCUCGGGAGAGAAGGAAGGCUGUUGCUCCAUGCCAGCCACAGGGAUAACCGCAUUGGAUCAUUUCCUCUCAGACAGGAAGCACUUGAAAUAACAAGCCAAGAAGCGAGCAGGAAGAAGAAUCUGUGAAGAUCAUUGUCUUGUAUUUCCCUCAAGUUCUUAUGAGGAAAUCAUCAACCUUGUGUGGUACUCCCAGCACAGCCUCUCAGUUUCCCUCCUUCACAGCUGUGUGAGCUCCAUGUUGCCAGGCCUACAUAUGAUGGACAGUGGUGCCUCCUGAACAGAGGAAGGCCCAGUGCAAGGCAUAAAACUAAGCAGGAAGACGGCAAGAUGAGGAAGCCGGACAGAUCUGUGGCCGUGGCUGAUGUCAAACAGAGCACAACUUUCAGCAAAACCCCUCUCUAACUGACCAGGUCCUCAGCCGUUGCUCUGCUAAUUUAAAUUCAGAGAAAACAAGCAUCCAGACCUCACUAGGUUCCUGGGGAUGUAAGAAAAGUUCAGAAAGUCGGAAAGAGAUACUGGACAACCAUCCCAGAUGGCAGGAGCUCCUAGGCAGUCUCUCCCAGCCACACACAUGGAAAGCAUUUCUCUCCUGGGAAGACUGUUGAAAUCAAGCUUUCCAGUGAUUCAUUAACAGCUGAAAGCAUGUGGUCCUUUCUUGGGCAGUUCUGGACUGUUUAGUCUUUUCCUUCCCUUUUUGUUUUCUCUGGGAAAUACAGAUGACCACCAUGAAAACGGCAUGCCCUAAAGACCAUGAGUGGCAUGGCUGUGGCCUCUCCCUGCUCCUGGUUCCAUACUGAUGGACAUGCAGAGAUAGAUGAAAAAGGAACCAUGGAAAGCAAGGACCCCAGCAACCCAGGAGUUUUGGUACUAUUUCUUCUCAGAUAAAGAAACAUUACUAGGAAAAGGGUACGUGAAUUCUGUUUCAGACUCAAAGGCUUCGGGAAGAAAUGAAGUGAGGAGGAAAGAAGGGGCCUGGGCAAAGAAAUAAGCUGCAAAAUCAAUGUUGCCUUAAAUAGAUACGCCAAAAUUUACCUUCACCGCUCUCUUGGGGGUGUUUAUAAUUAUCACGUAUUAGAAACAAGCACUGUGACCAUCUAUAUUUUUAAGUAGUUCAAUAAAUUGUAAUCAUCUA
Psammomys obesus (fat sand rat) is the source of this 1234-nucleotide long non-coding RNA. RefSeq lists it as uncharacterized. Lineage: Eukaryota; Metazoa; Chordata; Mammalia; Rodentia; Muridae. The transcript has 3 exons. The record is from RefSeq and is a predicted model, not a curated record.